GGGGAAUAUUGGACAAUGGGCGAAAGCCUGAUCCAGCCAUGCCGCGUGUGUGAAGAAGGUCUUCGGAUUGUAAAGCACUUUAAGUUGGGAGGAAGGGCAUUAACCUAAUACGUUAGUGCUUUGACGUUACCGAGAGAAUAAGCACCGGCUAACUCUGUGCCAGCAGCCGCGGUAAUACAGAGGGUGCAAGCGUUAAUCGGAAUUACUGGGCGUAAAGCGCGCGUAGGUGGUUUGUUAAGUUGAAUGUGAAAUCCCCGGGCUCAACCUGGGAACUGCAUCCAAAACUGGCAAGCUAGAGUAUGGUAGAGGGUAGUGGAAUUUCCUGUGUAGCGGUGAAAUGCGUAGAUAUAGGAAGGAACACCAGUGGCGAAGGCGACUACCUGGACUGAUACUGACACUGAGGUGCGAAAGCGUGGGGAGCAAACA
RNAcentral lists this ribosomal RNA (426 nucleotides) under uncultured Pseudomonas sp. RNAcentral describes it as "bacterial SSU rRNA". It matches the Rfam family "Bacterial small subunit ribosomal RNA", at positions 356 to 774 of the family's 1533-position model. The record is from RNAcentral. Lineage: Bacteria; Pseudomonadati; Pseudomonadota; Gammaproteobacteria; Pseudomonadales; Pseudomonadaceae.